GGGGAACCCUGACCGAGCAACGCCGCGUGAGUGAAGAAGGUUUUCGGAUCGUAAAGCUCUGUUGUAAGAGAAGAACGAGUGUGAGAGUGGAAAGUUCACACUGUGACGGUAACUUACCAGAAAGGGACGGCUAACUACGUGCCAGCAGCCGCGGUAAUACGUAGGUCCCGAGCGUUGUCCGGAUUUAUUGGGCGUAAAGCGAGCGCAGGCGGUUAGAUAAGUCUGAAGUUAAAGGCUGUGGCUUAACCAUAGUACGCUUUGGAAACUGUUUAACUUGAGUGCAGAAGGGGAGAGUGGAAUUCCAUGUGUAGCGGUGAAAUGCGUAGAUAUAUGGAGGAACACCGGUGGCGAAAGCGGCUCUCUGGUCUGUAACUGACGCUGAGGCUCGAAAGCGUGGGGAGCAACGGAUUAGAUACCCUGGUAGUCCACGCCGUAAACGAUGAGUGCUAGGUGUUGGGUCCUUUCCGGACUCAGUGCCGCAGCUAACGCAUUAAGCACUCGCCUGGGGAGUACGACGCA
Molecule: ribosomal RNA, 519 nt
Filed under: Streptococcus sinensis
Lineage: Bacteria; Bacillati; Bacillota; Bacilli; Lactobacillales; Streptococcaceae
Description: bacterial SSU rRNA
Rfam family: Bacterial small subunit ribosomal RNA
Source: RNAcentral